AGAGUUUGAUCCUGGCUCAGGAUGAACGCUGGCGGCGUGCCUAACACAUGCAAGUCGAACGGAGUUAUGAUGUGAGCGGGAAGUGCUUGCACUAAACAAUCUUUUCAUAACUUAGUGGCGGACGGGUGAGUAACGCGUGGGUAACCUGCCCUGUACUGGGGGACAACAGUUGGAAACGACUGCUAAUACCGCAUAAGCGCACGGGAUCGCAUGAUCCUGUGUGAAAAACUCCGGUGGUACAGGAUGGACCCGCGUCUGAUUAGCUGGUUGGUGAGGUAACGGCCCACCAAGGCAACGAUCAGUAGCCGGCCUGAGAGGGUGAACGGCCACAUUGGGACUGAGACACGGCCCAAACUCCUACGGGAGGCAGCAGUGGGGAAUAUUGCACAAUGGGGGAAACCCUGAUGCAGCGACGCCGCGUGAGUGAAGAAGUAUUUCGGUAUGUAAAGCUCUAUCAGCAGGGAAGAAAAUGACGGUACCUGACUAAGAAGCCCCGGCUAACUACGUGCCAGCAGCCGCGGUAAUACGUAGGGGGCAAGCGUUAUCCGGAUUUACUGGGUGUAAAGGGAGCGUAGACGGCAUGGCAAGUCUGAAGUGAAAUGCGGGGGCUCAACCCCUGAACUGCUUUGGAAACUGUCAGGCUGGAGUGCAGGAGAGGUAAGUGGAAUUCCUAGUGUAGCGGUGAAAUGCGUAGAUAUUAGGAGGAACACCAGUGGCGAAGGCGGCUUACUGGACUGUAACUGACGUUGAGGCUCGAAAGCGUGGGGAGCAAACAGGAUUAGAUACCCUGGUAGUCCACGCCGUAAACGAUGAUUACUAGGUGUUGGGGAUUUGUAAAUCCCCGGUGCCGUCGCAAACGCAAUAAGUAAUCCACCUGGGGAGUACGUUCGCAAGAAUGAAACUCAAAGGAAUUGACGGGGGCCCGCACAAGCGGAGGAACAUGUGGUUUAAUUCGAUGAUACGCGAGGAACCUUACCCGGGCUUGAAUUGCAGAGGAAGGAUUUGGAGACAAUGACGCCCUUCGGGGCCUCUGUGAAGGUGCUGCAUGGUUGUCGUCAGCUCGUGCCGUGAGGUGUCGGCUUAAGUGCCAUAACGAGCGCAACCCCUCUCCUUAGUUGCCAUCAGGUUAAGCUGGGCACUCUGGGGACACUGCCACCGUAAGGUGUGAGGAAGGUGGGGAUGACGUCAAAUCAGCACGGCCCUUACGUCCGGGGCUACACACGUGUUACAAUGGCAGGUACAGAGAGACGGUCCCUUGCAAAACGGAUCAAAUCCUUAAAGCCUGUCUCAGUUCGGACUGGGGUCUGCAACCCGACCCCACGAAGCUGGAUUCGCUAGUAAUCGCGCAUCAGCCAUGGCGCGGUGAAUACGUUCCCGGGCCUUGUACACGCCGCCCGUCAAGCCAUGAAAGCCGGGGGCGCCUAAAGUCCGUGACCGUAAGGAGCGGCCUAGGGCGAAACUGGUAAUUGGGGCUAAGUCGUAACAAGGUA
This 1490-nucleotide ribosomal RNA is filed under the name metagenome. RNAcentral's name for it is "bacterial SSU rRNA". It matches the Rfam family "Bacterial small subunit ribosomal RNA". The record is from RNAcentral.